GAGUUAGUGAUGAUUAUAAAAAAAAUUUCUCGUUUUAACUUACUUAAUUAGGGCAUGAUAAAUCUCUUCUUACAUCCAUAGAAUCUUAGCUAC
This 93-nucleotide small nucleolar RNA is filed under the name Theobroma cacao (cacao). RNAcentral's name for it is "Small nucleolar RNA snoR8a". It matches the Rfam family "Small nucleolar RNA snoR8a". Lineage: Eukaryota; Viridiplantae; Streptophyta; Magnoliopsida; Malvales; Malvaceae. The record is from Rfam by way of RNAcentral.